AUACGUAGGUGGCAAGCGUUGUCCGGAAUUAUUGGGCGUAAAGCGCGCGCAGGCGGUCCUUUAAGUCUGAUGUGAAAGCCCACGGCUCAACCGUGGAGGGUCAUUGGAAACUGGGGGACUUGAGUGCAGAAGAGGAAAGGGGAAUUCCAAGUGUAGCGGGGAAAUGCGUAGAGAUUUGGAGGAACACCAGUGGCGAAGGCGACUUUCUGGUCUGUAACUGACGCUGAGGCGCGAAAGCGUGGGGAGCAAACAGGAUUAGAUACCCUGGUAGUCCACGCCGUAAACGAUGAGUGCUAAGUGUUAGGGGGUUUCCGCCCCUUAGUGCUGCAGCUAACGCAUUAAGCACUCCGCCUGGGGAGUACGGUCGCAAGACUGAAACUCAAAGGAAUUGACGGGG
This 397-nucleotide ribosomal RNA is filed under the name uncultured bacterium. RNAcentral's name for it is "partial 16S ribosomal RNA". It matches the Rfam family "Bacterial small subunit ribosomal RNA", at positions 523 to 918 of the family's 1533-position model. The record is from RNAcentral.